Molecule: non-coding RNA, 91 nt
Filed under: unclassified sequences
Source: RNAcentral
UCUACUUUGCCGCCGGGCAAAGUGUUGAUUAAGCGUUUUUGUUUCAUACCGAUAGGCCUUAGAAGGUAUGAAGCUAAAGCGCUUUUUAUUU